CAAUAAAACAAGUAUGCACAGCUUCUUCUUAGUUUUUAGACAUUCAAACUUUAGAAAGAUUGAUACCUGAAGGAUCAUGGUACUCUAUCUAGCGUGCUAACGCCCAUCCUUCGGUCUACCAUAGACCAACAAUUUGUUCCUCAUGGACCUCAUCACAUCCAUAUUUUGCAGUGUAAAAGAUUUCCUGCCACAAGUGGAAGUUGUUGUGACAACAAAAUUAAAAACCAAAUGAGCCUGAAAUCCAACUUUACAAUCAAUUGUUCGCAAUAUGUGGAUUCUUAAACUAAAAUAUGCUCAAUCAGCACAAGAUUCUACCAAAUCACAAGGAGACGUCUCAACAAUAACAAAACUGAAUCCAGAAACUAUGACACAAAAUUAACCCUGAUCUAGGUCUUUCAACAAAGUCGGGACUGCAAUUAUCUGUAUCAGUCCCUACAGAAAUCAUCACCACUUGAUUCUCUACAUCUAACCUCAAUCAAUUUCACCGAAAGUAUCAGAUAAGGCAAGACAUUACCACCGUAAAUAGAUUCAGUAGAAAAUGGAAAAUUAUGGUGGUGAAGAAGAAAUACCAUUCUUUUGAAAGCACAUAGUCCUGAUGUACUGCAAGUCGGCAAAGUACACCUACAUCACUUCUCCUCGG
This 640-nucleotide long non-coding RNA is filed under the name Arabidopsis lyrata. RNAcentral's name for it is "long non-coding RNA (ALYR_LNC001425)". Lineage: Eukaryota; Viridiplantae; Streptophyta; Magnoliopsida; Brassicales; Brassicaceae. The record is from RNAcentral.